UGGAACUUGACUUUGUGGAGUAUGGGACUUCAGACUGAUUUCCUGAAAAGACCAUGUGGCAAAGAUGCAUUGAAAUGGAUGUGACUGAACAACAAAGGAAGACACAUUGCUUCUGUUCCUUCAAUUAGAACAGUUCAAUGAGUUUUGUGGAGACUCUCAAAUAUCAGGUCAAUUUUUUUCUAUAAACAUUGUUGUUGAUUCUACAGUCCAUUCUGGUGAUCCUCAGAGCCAUAAAUCUCCGUGAGGUAGACAGAAAAUACAGAACCACCCCCAUGUGUCUUAUAUCUUUCUCAGCUUUACUUAGAACAAAAUG
Molecule: long non-coding RNA, 313 nt
Filed under: Monodelphis domestica (gray short-tailed opossum)
Lineage: Eukaryota; Metazoa; Chordata; Mammalia; Didelphimorphia; Didelphidae
Description: lncRNA (ENSMODG00000043409.1)
Source: RNAcentral